Molecule: ribosomal RNA, 290 nt
Filed under: uncultured bacterium
Lineage: Bacteria
Description: partial 16S ribosomal RNA
Rfam family: Bacterial small subunit ribosomal RNA
Source: RNAcentral
AUGCCAGCCGCCGCGGUAAUACGUAGGGUGCAAGCGUUAUCCGGAAUUAUUGGGCGUAAAGAGCUCGUAGGCGGUUUGUCGCGUCUGCUGUGAAAACUGGAGGCUCAACCUCCAGCCUGCAGUGGGUACGGGCAGACUAGAGUGCGGUAGGGGAGAUUGGAAUUCCUGGUGUAGCGGUGGAAUGCGCAGAUAUCAGGAGGAACACCGAUGGCGAAGGCAGAUCUCUGGGCCGUAACUGACGCUGAGGAGCGAAAGCAUGGGGAGCGAACAGGAUUAGAUACCCGGUAGUC